ACAAUGUGAUCUUUAGUCUCUUGGUAAAGGACAUUUGUCCUUUUCAUGACUGUUAGUGCUAGCUACAUGUGACAGGGUAUUUGGUGUCUUAAGAGGGGAUCUGGGUAUUUAUGCCCAAAUACAUGCACCUGAGAACUAGAUGCUGGUUGCCAAGGACUACUAAUGACUGAGAGCUGGAAGAGUCUCAGCUGCACCAAGUUAACAUUUAUCAAGGCAAGAGGAAACUUUAUAAAGGUAGAGCAGAAGCCUAAUUGAGUGAGUGGGGAUGAAGAGUGUGAGUACUGUCUCAGUGUUGAUGCUGCAGAUGGUGGUGGAUGAUAACCUGAGCAUUUGUGAAAACUAUAAGCACCAUCAAGUCAACUGAAUCCACCUGUCCUUUUGUCUGAUGUGGAAACCAUCAGGGAACUCUCCAAAUCUGCCACACAGCAGUGGCCACAGAGUGCAGCAUCCCUCCCCCAUCCAUGACAGUCCUGUUUUUGGGGCCCACUGCACCAUGUGUCCCAAAGGGAGUAUUGAGGAUGCUGUGGAACAUUCUGAGACCCUAACCUAAUGUAUCCUCGACCUACAUUAUGUGUGCAGGUUUGAGUUUUGCUGGGAAGGAGUCUGGGAGCCCACUACUCUGAAAGAAGAAUGGGCUUGAAGAGGAGCUGUGGAGGGGCAAAACAUUAUAUUGAUAACUAGUGUCACGGGACACUGAUGUGGGACAUUGAUACCCUGGAAAGGAACUAUGAUGUGACUUGGCUGGAGGACCAAGUCACCACACCAGAUCACAGGAGCCCUGAGGACAAGAGGAGGCAGAAGUACUGCAAUGCUGGGCCUCAAGACAAGGGACAUUCUGGGACGGCUAAAUUGUGGAAUUUGCCACAAGCCCUGAGUAAGGAACCAGGGGGAGACCAGGGACCAUAUUACAACAACCUCUCCCUACUGGCCUGUUGCUCUUUGGGAGAAUGGUCAAGGAAGCCUGGAGUUUUUUUUUUUUUUUUUUUUUAAAGCUGAUGAUGUCAGAGCUCUGUGGGCCCUGUCCCACUGCUACAGCUCCAUGUGAUGGGGGGAGAUGAAGGGCUUUUCACCUUGGGCUUGGUUUCUUGGAGUGGCUACUGCUGGUCCAACUGAGGUGGUGGGAAAGGUGAGAGGGCUAGUUGCUCCAUUGGGGCUGGGAGGCUCUGCAUUCACCACCCCAGACCCUGCUGCUGGUCUGACUCAUGCAGCUGUGUUUAGGAAUGACAAUGCCAUGUUCUGCCGUGUAUUGGAGUACUUUCUGAAUGACGUUCUGUGACUUUGGCUGCAGGCCAUCUCUCUUAUUUUAGUGCAAACAAACAUUGCAGCAUCUUUAUAUUAUCCUCCACAAACCAAUAAAUAAUGGUGAUUAAUGUAUAAAGUCAACCCUUAGCAGAUUGUGUACAUGAAUUCCUUCAACAUUUCUCUAGUUUAAGGAUAUGUGGUGGUAUCUUAGAUAUCAAUGUAUGGUAACUGUCCAUUUUAUAGUGGUGAUAGGUGUAGUUACCAGAACAAAUCUCUUACCUAUGACAGUGCCUAACACAAUGGAACCCCAAUCCCAGUUUGGGACUUGAAGUGCUACUGUGAUACAAACAAUGAUGAUAAUAUGCAAAUUAGGAGUAACAUUUUGGUUUUGAGUUACCUAGAAAUUGCAGCCAGGAGGUGAACAGCAGGGCACAACUGUUGAGUCUCCCACCUGAGCACUCUGCAUGAGACAUGCUAAAGGUUCUCUGCACUUUGGUGCAGUAAAGUUGAUACAAUCCUUACUGUUGACUAAAAGUGGGCCCUCUGUGCUUCAGGAGAUUGUUGCAAUUUUGGGCCAGAUUCCACAGUAAAACACAGAGUGUGUAAUCUGCUCACUCACCAGAGGCUACUCUGUACCCUCCCCUACUUGGAUUUGGAUGACUUGGACACCUGGCAUGAGUAACCUAUGUGAACAGCUGUGAGCUCGCCAGCUAGAACAGAGGUGGGAAAAUGACUCCCUUUGCCCAUUGUGGAGAGGUGAAGGUAAAGAGAAUCAGAAUUUGGCUUUCGCAUUCUUCAGCUGACCUGGCAUGUGCUGGGCAAGUCACUUCACUGCUCCAUGCCUUUUUCCUUAUCUGUGGAAUGGGAAUAAUGGUACCCUCCUUGGUAAAGCACUGUGAGAUCUCUAGAUGAAAACUGCUAUAUGCAUGUUGAUAUUUAAAACAAAUGUAUGUAGCACUAGUACUGUGCCCAUCAGUGGAGGAAAUGGCAGAUAUACCAAGACAAUGCACAUACGGCAAAUCAAUAUUUUGUGCUGCAUAUAAAAUAAGCUAUUUAAUUAGAUAUUAAUAUAGUGUAUAAGCAAAUGUUGAUUCAGAUACACUGGAAUUUCCAUGGAAAUGAUGUCUAUGCCUCAAGAUAUGAUGCAUAUAAACCAAAAUUUAUUUACUUUAUUUCAUUCCUAAUUUGUGUUUUAAGGAAAUAAAUGCCAUAGACGAGCUAUUGUGUUUUAUUAAGAAAUCAACAUGUUGGAAAUGCAAGCUAAUCUGUUAUGCAGAGGAGUCAUGCCUGGGUAUAAAUGCAAUAUAUAAUAUGCACAAUUCUUAGUGGCUUUUUUACUUUACUGUUUAGAACCUCAAAUAAAAUAGCCUCCAUUAGCUGCUUAGCUAGUAAGUAGAGAAGAAGACCAUUUGAAACUGCUGUAUAGUUGUCUUUUGAGCUGAACUGUUGAAACUGAAAAAAUGGGGGCAACAUGGAAUAUGGGGGAGACAGUUAUUAAAAUAUAAUCACAAAUGCAUAACUAAUAUGCAAAUCAGCAAAUUUAACUGAAGCAGGAAAAUACUGUAG
This is a long non-coding RNA of Chelonia mydas (Green sea turtle), 2808 nucleotides long. RefSeq lists it as uncharacterized. The transcript is spliced from 5 exons. The record is from RefSeq and is a predicted model, not a curated record. NCBI's taxonomy places the organism in Eukaryota, Metazoa, Chordata, Testudines, Cheloniidae.